UCUCCUCUCGGCGUCUCCCCAUUGAAUUUCUGCUUGUCCCUCGUCCCACCCCUGAUCCCCGCCCCCUUUUGGUCUCUCCGCCUUUCACUAGGACCCGCCCCCUCGGAUUCCAGGCUGGCAGAACCCGUGCCAGGCUCCCUUCCCCUGCUAGCCCCCUCCCAUCCCAUCUCGGAGCCUCUCCUCCCCCUCUCCCCUUCUCCCGCUUGCCUCACGCUGGAGCUGGCUCUCCAGCCCGGAACCGCUGGCUCUGAUUGGCUGCGGCGGCCCCAAUGGAUGGCGGAGGAGACAAAGUGAUGGUUGCAGGUCGCCUGAGGUCCCACCCCGGCCACGUGCGGCUGCUGUGAUGACAGGUCUAGAGGGGCGGGACCUCGGCCCGCAGUCGGCGGCCUAGGCUGACCGGAUCCGGCCAGAGGUGGGGAGCCAGAACCAGCGCCAAAGCGUCAGCCUGCGGGCGCCAAGCCUGAGUGGGGCCCUCCUAGGCUUUCGAGCUGGUGUGAGCUGCCUGCGAAACUUGAACCUCUUAGUGAAGCCGUCUGCGUUAGCGCGCUUAUUUGCCCUAAUGGGGGAGGUCUGUGGGGUUUGCAAAGUAGUGCCAUGAGUCUCAGGAUUCUGUGAAAAUGCGGGAAUCUGAUUGGCGGGGUCUCAAGACUGUGAGGAUGAGCAGUUUCCGCAGCCUACGCUUUGCGGGAGAUUCUGAAUUUUGAGAGACUGGCAGUACGAGUCAGAUCUGUACCUGUGGAGGUAGGUCAGCAAGAAGUCUGUGAAUUUAUGAGCCUAAGUAUUAAUACGGAGUUAUGGGAGCCUGCAAUCGCCGGAGAAAAGAAGAGUCUUUGCUUUGUACAAGUGUCGAUUGAACUAUGUGACAGUUACAUAUAUUGUGUAUUUUAAUUAGCGCUUGAAUCUUCUCUCCAACUACCCCCAGCCCCACGGGUUCCCGAGAUACAGCAGGGGAAGUCGACGCUUUACGAGCUACCGGUAGAUGGCAGCACAGGACCCUUGCAGAACUCAGUGGCUCUGAGCUCGGGGCCUGGCGGGCUUCUCUCUGGAGCCAGCGGUAUUGAUGGCUGUGUGAUGGACUGGACAUGUUAAAGUUCUCUCAAAGUCUCAGAUUCUUUAGAUCUCUGUGACUUUCUUUCUGCUGCCUUAUGUUGCAGAAAAAUGGAGAACAAGAGAAUGGUCAUGUCCCAGGUCUCAGGUGAGUUCUCAGGUGAGGGCCACCAAGUGAGGGUCCUUGGCUUUGCUCAGGAAAGAAUUCAAGAGUGAGCCAUGGUAUCAUCUCACAACGGUCAGAAUGGCCAUCAUCAAAAGAUCUACAAACAAUAAAUGCUGGAGAGAGUGUGGAGAAAAGGGACUCUUGCACUGUUGGUGGGAAUGUAAAUUGAUACAGCUGCUAUGGAGAACAGUAUGGAGGUUCCUUAAAAAACUAAAAAUAGAACUACCAUACGACCCAGCAAUCCCACUACUGGGCAUAUACCCUGAGAAAACCAUAAUUCAAAAAGAGUCAUGUACCAAAAUGUUCAUUGCAGCUCUAUUUACAAUAGCCAGGACAUGGAAGCAACCUAAGUGUCCAUCAACAGAUGAAUGGAUAAAGAAGGUGUGGCACAUAUAUACAAUGGAAUAUUACUCAGCCAUAAAAAGGCACGAAACUGCGUUAUUUGUAGUGAGGUGGAUGGACCUAGAGACUGUCAUACAGAGUGAAGUAAGUCAUAAAGAGAAAAACAAAUACCGUAUGCUAACACAUAUAUAUGGAAUAUAAAAAAAAAAAGAAAAAAAUCGUCAGAAGAACCUAGGGGCAAGACGGGAAUAAAGAUGCAGACCUACUAUAGAAUGGCCUUGAGGAUACGGGGAGGGGGAAAGGUAAGCUGGGACAAAGCGAGAGAGUGGCAUGGACAUAUAUACACUACUAAAUGUAAAAUAGAUAGCUAGUGGGAAGCACCCGCAUAGCAGAGGGAGAUCAGCUCGGUGCUUUGUGACCACCUAGAGGGGUGGGAUAGGGAGGGUGGGAGGGAGGGAGAUGCAAGAGGGAAGAAAUAUGGGGACAUAUGUAUAUGUAUAACUGAUUCACUUUGUUAUAAAGCAGAAACUGACACAGCAUUGUAAAGCAAUUAUACUCUAAUAAAGAUGUUAAAAAAAAAAAAGUGAGCCAUGGGAAUUCCCUCGUGGUCCAGUGGUUAGGACUCCACGCUUCCAAUGCAAGGGGCACGGGUUCGAUCCCUGGUCAGGGAACUAAGAUCCCAUGUGCCGCACUUGGAGCAACCAAAAAAAAAAAGAGUGAGCCAUAGUAAAGUGAAAGUGGGUUUAUUUGGAGAUACACGUUCCAUAGGCAGAAUGUGGUCCCUCUCAGAAGGUGAGGGAGGCCCAGGGCUGUGGGCGUGGUUAGCUUUUAUGGGCUGGGUAAUUGCAUAAGCUAAUGAGCGGGAGGAUUAUUCCAAUUAUUUGGGGAAAGAGGUGGGGAUUUCCAGGAAUUGGGCCACUGCCUACUUUAUGGCCUUUUAUGGUCAGCCUCAGAACUGUCAUGCCUAUAAAAAAAAAAAAAAGGGACUUCCCUGGUGGGCUGUGGUUAAGAAUCUGCCUGCCAAUGCAGGGGACACAGGUUCGAGCCCUGGUCCGGGAAGAUCCCACACGCCACGGAGCAACUAAGCCAUGUGCGCCACAACUACUGAGCCUGCGCUCUAGAGCCAGUGAGACACAACUACUGAGCCCACCUGCCAUAACUACUGAAGACCGUGCACCGCAACAAAGAGAAGCCACCACAACGAGAAGCCUGCACACCACAACGAAGAGUAGCCCCCACUUGCUGCAACUAGAGAAAGCCCGCGCACAGCAACGAAGACCCAACACAGCCAAAAACAAACAAACAAACAAAUAAAUAAAUAAAUUUAUUUAAAAAAAAGAACUGUCAUGGCACGGGUGGGUGUGUCAUUUAGCAUGCUAGUAUAUUAGAAUGAGUGUAUAAUGAGGCUCAAGAUCUACUGGAAGUCAAAUCUUCCACCAUCUUGGGCCUAGUUGGUUCUAACUAAUUUUUUUUGUAUCCUCAAUGGCUGUGUCAUUCUUUUAAUGGUUGUGCCCUGCCCCCUUCCCUCCUGGGUCACUUACAUGCAUGUAAUCUGUUAGUGCUUACUAAAUAAUAAAGUAUGUUCUUUUUCUA
Long non-coding RNA from Orcinus orca (killer whale), 3148 nucleotides. RefSeq lists it as uncharacterized. Lineage: Eukaryota; Metazoa; Chordata; Mammalia; Artiodactyla; Delphinidae. The transcript is spliced from 2 exons. The record is from RefSeq and is a predicted model, not a curated record.